ACACGCCCACCCAACCCACGCCACGCACAUGUUUCGGGAGUGCCACAGGAACGUUAAAGGUGAACACGAGUAAGUCUGAUCUCUGCCGCCUUGAAAUUCCACGCAACCACCACCCGCUUCCCUUGCCUCGUGCACUUCCCGCCCUCUUAGCAUUCGCCUCUCUGCUCUCCCUCUUGAUGAAAAAAAAACGACCCGCGCCAUGUUCCGCGCCUUUACAUCCCCGAUUCUCGCCAAAGUACCCUACGCCACCCUGUUUGAGUACAACCAUGUCCUCAAGAAGGUGUUUGAGGCACAGCCGUCAAAGGUGGCGCUGAGAUGUGAGCUGCCGGGGAUGCCCGAGAUGCAGUUCACGUACGGGCAGCUGCAGCGCGAUGUAGUGGCCAUGGCGGGCGCGAUGGUUCGGCGCAAAGAGGCGGUGGCGCAGGCGCGCGGCGAGACUUCGCUGGGCUGGCUGCAGCCAAGCAAGCCGGCGCACGUGCGCAGCGUGUUCGCGCAAGGCGAGCGGACACCGAGCUGCGACUACAUUAAGGACACAGGCUUCUACACGAUGUCCGUGUUGUGCGGCCCGGGGUACACGUAUGUUGUGUCGCUGCUGGCGAGCUGGUCGCUGAACCAGCUGGUGACACCGAUGUCCGUGUCUCAGCGGUACAAGGACGAGCUGAUGUACGUGCUCGAGCACAGCGGCAGCCGCAGCAUUGUGGGCGACACGAAGCUGCUGAAGGAGAAGUUACCUGCCGAGUACGAGGAGCUGUACGUUCGCGCUGAGGCGGGCAUCGACAAAAUCCCGCGGCGUGCGCCGAGGGAGCCGCGGCUGCACAACGACUCCGACGUUACCUCCAACACGUUCCUCGUCGACACCGUCUACGACGCCGCUCUUCUUGUUCGCGACAUCACAGCAAAGCGUGAUAUUAAGGGGACCGCCACGCUGCAGGCGGAGUGGCUACCGCCCGCGGAGAGCGCCUGUUCACCGAUGCUGAGCGCCGAGGAUGUCGUGAAGCGUCUCGACGACGAGAAGGCCGCCGCCAAGGCUCGCGAGCUGGAUCGGCAAGCGGAGAUCGCGCAGCAGGAACAUCUCCGCCGGAACCGAGCGCCAACGGAAGCCAUGGGAGGCGCUGAUCCUGCGGGGAACGACGGAGACGGUGAGAGCCUCUUCUGCUUUGACUCGGCGCACCUUGAUGAGCUGAAUCGCGUUUACCAGCGCUGGUACGCCAUGCCGUCGGCGCGCCCGACCAAGUACGAUGACUGCCUCAUGCUGUACACCUCCGGCACGACGGCAAAGCCGAAGGGCGUCGUGCAUACCCACGCCAGCGUGACCAACAUGGUGAAAGUACUGCAGGAUGCGUGGCAGUGGAGAGAUACGGACAGCAUUCUUCACGUCUUGCCCUGGCACCAUGUACACGGCCUUGUAAACAUCCUCCUGUGCGCCCUCGCCUCGAAUGCGCGUUGCGUAGUUACCACCUUCGACGACGCUGCGCGGGUGGCACAUCGACUAGAGCAGGGCGACAUCACGCUCUUCAUGGCGGUGCCCACUGUCUACGUGAAGCUCAGUGAUGCUGUGCAGCGCAAGUUCAGCCCCAUUGAGAAGACCGGAUUCCGAAAGGCUUGCAUGGAAUCUGUGCGCCUCAUGGUCUGUGGCAGCGCGCCUCUGCCUGUGCCCACGCUCAACCAGUUCUGCGAGCUCUCGGGUCACACGCUGCUAGAGCGCUACGGCAUGACGGAGAUCGGCAUGGCCCUCAGUCAGCCGCUUCACCCCAUCGCCGACCGGCACCCCGGAACCGUAGGCUCGCCGUUGCCGACGGUGAAGACGUACGUGCACCAGCCGGAGACGGCGGAGGCGAUGGAGCAGGCGUCGGCAAAUGAGGCGGAGUACGACGAGGUGGGCAGCCUGGGCAUCGCGUCGGAGUCGCUGUUCGACCGCUACUGGAACAAUGCGACAGCGACGAAGAAGGAGGUGCGGACGAACGCGGCAGGGAUGCGGUUCUUCGACACGGGCGACACCGUUGGCGUGCGGCUGCCCGCGGGAAAGUCUGCUGUGUAUACAAUUCUGGGGCGGUCGAGCGUGGACAUCAUCAAGUCGCGCGGGUACAAGCUCUCUGCGCUGGAGAUCGAGGCGACGCUGCUUGCGCGCAACGACCUGUUUUACGAGAUGGCUGUUGUUGGCGCCGCGGACGCUGUGCAGGGUGAGAGCGUUGUGGCGGUUGUCGCGAUGCAGCCGGAGGCGGCGAGGGCGCGCGGGAUCACGUUUGGCGAGGGCGCCGCGUGGCACGAGACUGCAGCGGUGACGGAAGAACUGAAAAAGGUUGCCCUGCAGCUGCUGGCACCGUACAAGUGCCCGUCGCGGUACAUUGUCGUGCCGGAGAUCCCGCGCAACGCGACGGGGAAGGUGAACAAGAAGGACCUGAAGAAGGUACUGAACCUUGCGUGAGAUGCUUUAUGCUCCGCAUGUGGAGAGUGUGAGCUGCGGGGAGCAAGAGAUGGACCGUGCAAUGCGCGCGACGGAGAGUCCCUCAUGCUCUGCGUGUGUGAGGGCUCGUUGUGCUGUGAGGUCGGCGGCGCUGCUAUGGUGCGCGUGUGCUCGUGGCCUUUUCCUGGUGGUCACCAGAGGAGGAGGCGGGGUGUUUACUGGGCUGAUGCCUUGAUGACAGCUGCAGUCCCACUUGUGCACUGAUUCUCGUUUUUAUUGUUUACCUUUUCCCAGCUCCACGCACCACCUCUCGCGCUUGUUGGCGAAGACCAUGACGUGCUGAGCGGCCGUUUUUUACCACCAUCGGUGUAUGACGAGGAUGUACGGGGGGCGCCACCCGGGAGAGGGCACGAGCGCCUACGUCUGAGCAGAAGGCGAGGAGAGUGUGCCUGCACAUAGAGACACAAGCACACGCGCGCAUGUGCAUAUACAAGACACUGCCCUUUCUCUCUCCCUCUCUUUUUUUUUUGAGUAUCAACACUCGAACGUUUUCUCUUUGUGUGCUCCUGCGGGUGCGCGGUCGAUACUCAUCGGAAAGGGAAGGGGAGAGGAGGGAGAGAGGAGGGAGAGAGGAGGGAGGGAGAAGGGAGGAGGGCGGCGAUGAAAAGACAGAGCGGCGUUUGGCGCCACGACGUUUGGGGUAAUGUCUGUCCGCGUGCGUGAAGCCCCUCCUGGAAGCGGGUUCGUCUGACGAACUUGCGCUAUUGUGACUGGUUAGUGCGCCGAAUCGCUGCCUGCAGCGACUACCAUCGCUCCUGAUACUUUUGUAUCUCGGCACCUUGCCGACCUUGAGCCGCCAUCCCGCAGCUCCGCUUCUCCCUCAUGACUCCGGGCGAACCACUUCGAUAGCCCGCCCCAGCGCAUCUCGUGCACUCCGCUUCACAUUCUCGUGGCUCUCGUUAGCCGCACAGCCGCUUCACUCACCAACACAUGUGCACACAGUUGUGGGCUGCACGUGUCCAAGAGUGGCUGAGCGGCAAGCAUCCACAAAACAGGCGCACAGAAACGCAUUCGUGAAGGAAUGUCGGCGAGGGGAGACUUCGUUUUUUUUUCUGAGUGCGUACGUGUGCGUGUGCGUUUUGGAGCCCGAAAACUGAGCAGAUCUUGCUGGCUGUCGGAGGCAAAGAGACGGCCACACCUCCUCCACAAAGAGCGGUUUGAUGCCUCCUCCCUCCUCCUCCCCUCUCUGUCUCUGUCUCGCGCAGUGAGUCUAUGCGUCUCGCGUUCUUUUGUUUGUUUUCCCCGCCCCGUUUCUUUUGCGCCACGUCGGUGCCCUCCCGUGGAUCAUUGAUGAGGCCCUCUCUUCCUCCAAUCUUCGACUCCUCGCUCCCCAACCCCUUGUCGUCUUCCCACCUUGCCCUUCUCCUUAUCGUCCGCGUGAG
RNAcentral lists this unclassified non-coding RNA (3846 nucleotides) under Leishmania donovani. Its description in RNAcentral is "gene:LdHU3.28.1570(CDS-product:long-chain-fatty-a cid-CoA_ligase_putative)". The record is from RNAcentral. Lineage: Eukaryota; Euglenozoa; Kinetoplastea; Trypanosomatida; Trypanosomatidae.